AGAGCAACGGAUUGAAGCUCCGUGUGUCGGCGGUUCGAUUCCGUCCCGCGCCA
This 53-nucleotide transfer RNA is filed under the name Secundilactobacillus similis DSM 23365 = JCM 2765. RNAcentral describes it as "Lactobacillus similis DSM 23365 = JCM 2765 tRNA". It matches the Rfam family "tRNA", at positions 20 to 71 of the family's 71-position model. From Rfam's summary of the family: Transfer RNA (tRNA) molecules are approximately 80 nucleotides in length. Their secondary structure includes four short double-helical elements and three loops (D, anti-codon, and T loops). The record is from Rfam by way of RNAcentral. Lineage: Bacteria; Bacillati; Bacillota; Bacilli; Lactobacillales; Lactobacillaceae.